AUAGAGACGUAUUUCCCUUCUACAUGUGGAAAAUCCCCAAGAGAGUCCCACAGACAUCGAUGACCUCAGGCACAACCAGGGCUGCCUGGCCGGGAAUGGGAUGGGAGGACCUCUAGUGACCUCACUGCUGCCCCAGGAGUACAGAACACCCACUGGGAUUGUGGGCUCCACCCUGCUGCCCCUGUCCUCAGGGCAAACUUCUCCACCUUCUUCCUGGGAAGCUCCUACUCACCCCGUCCACGAGUGGCUCUCCCCAUCCUGCUCAGCCUUCCCUCAGUUACUAGAAUGUUCCACAGCCAGUUCCACAGCCAGGACAUGCCUCAGGAGUCGUCCCCAGAAGCAGGCCCUCUGUCCACUCAUCCAGGUACCGA
Nycticebus coucang (slow loris) is the source of this 371-nucleotide long non-coding RNA. RefSeq lists it as uncharacterized. The record is from RefSeq and is a predicted model, not a curated record. The transcript has 3 exons. NCBI's taxonomy places the organism in Eukaryota, Metazoa, Chordata, Mammalia, Primates, Lorisidae.